UACGUAGGGGGCAAGCGUUGUCCGGAUUUAUUGGGCGUAAAGAGCGUGUAGGCGGUUUUACAGGUCCGCUGUGAAAACUCGAGGCUCAACCUUUGAAUGUCAGCGGAUACUGCCGGGCUAGAGUCCGGAAGAGGCGAGUGGAACUCCUGGUGUAGCGGUGGAAUGCGCAGAUAUCAGGAAGAACACCAACGGCGAAGGCAGCUCGCUGGGACGGAACUGACGCUGAGGAGCGAAAGCGUGGGGAGCAAACAGG
Molecule: ribosomal RNA, 253 nt
Filed under: uncultured bacterium
Lineage: Bacteria
Description: partial 16S ribosomal RNA
Rfam family: Bacterial small subunit ribosomal RNA
Source: RNAcentral